RNAcentral lists this long non-coding RNA (208 nucleotides) under Elaeis guineensis (African oil palm). RNAcentral describes it as "long non-coding RNA (EGUI_LNC019177)". Lineage: Eukaryota; Viridiplantae; Streptophyta; Magnoliopsida; Arecales; Arecaceae. The record is from RNAcentral.
ACUUGAGACAUGCUCGGGGCAUCAUCCUGCGGCAAUAGAAAUCUCACCUUGCGACAUCGUCUCUCGUCCUCCCGAGUCUCCUAUCUCGUGCCCGAUCUGCCUCCUGGAGCUCCACCUCGCUCUGGGCUCCGCCUAGCUCCCGAAGCUCCACCUCGCACUGGGCUCCCCGUCAGAUAAUAAUGUCUUCUGCUCCCCUUCUUUCCCUCCA